This 3605-nucleotide unclassified non-coding RNA is filed under the name Limulus polyphemus (Atlantic horseshoe crab). Its description in RNAcentral is "krueppel homolog 1-like, transcript variant X1". Lineage: Eukaryota; Metazoa; Arthropoda; Merostomata; Xiphosura; Limulidae. The record is from RNAcentral.
GUAGUAUUCAUCGGAUGAGACGAGACGAAGGCUCUUAAGUUUAUUCGAGCGAAUUGAAGCUGUCAUUGUGAAACUUUUGUGAUCUUUAACCAUUUUUGUUGUUUUUUAAUCCACGUAAGCUAAGCGGCAUCUGGCAAGCAACUGUUAUUUAUCAUUGCUCGAUUCUGGUAAUAAAUUAAACGAAAUUUUCCGCGCCAUAAUUUGAGAUGGUUUGUCUUGUCGGGCUGCGUAUUUAGAAAGAAUUCCUACGUUCUGUCUUCAGGUCUGAUUGACCACAAAAGCAACUUUGGGGUCGAUUGGCAAAUCAUGAUCUUGACCAUGUUAGAUACCUGGACAUCAUUAAACCAUGAUAAACACCUAAGACAAAACAGUUUGAAGACUGGAAGGGCCACAGAACAAACUUGAAAAGCUACCAACCACACAAUAUCGCCUUUAAUUCUCAAGAGUUCAGGAUUUCAUGAACAGCAACCCUCCAACUAGCACCAUGCAGAACAGUACUUAUCCCUGGGUGGCUCCAACAUCCCUUAGCCACAAAAGCUGGCCUCCUGGAUACCAGGCCAGUUUAACUGACCUCUUUCUUAAGAAAAACCCCCUUCACUUUGGAACAGGUAUUUCACAGUUAGCUGCAGCAUCAAGCUACAUAGAAAAAAUGUCCUCUUUUAAUGAGCACUCUCAGAAGUGCCCUCACCCAGAUGCAAAGGAUAAACCCUACCCUUGUGAGGUUUGUCAACAAUACUUCUCACUAUACAGUAGCCUGAAGUCUGACGGGGCUUGCAGUAGUAGUAGCUCCUGCAGCAUGUCUACUCACCCUAGUAUCAGCCGACCACUGAGUGCCCCACCUGAGCGGAAACAGCUGCCACCAACAUCACAGUCACCAACUUCAGCUGCACAAAGUUCCAGCCAUCCUCAGCAGUCUCCUCUUGCCCUUCUUCCACCUCCUCCACCACCACUACCUUUACAAAUGCCUGACAGAUCGCAGACUAACCAUGUAGACUCGCCAAUGAACCAACAGCAAACCCGUCGGCCUCGGCCAGCACCAACCAAGCAGUUCUUGUGCCCCGUUUGUCACAAGUACUUCACCCAAAAAGGAAAUCUAAAAACCCACAUGAUGAUUCACACAGGAGAGAAACCUUAUGGCUGCCAGGUGUGUGGUAAAAGGUUCACCCAGAAAGGCAAUGUAGACACACACAUGAAGAUUCAUACAGGAGAGAAGGAGUUCUCGUGUGACACUUGUGGCAAGAGCUUCACCCAAAAAGGAAACCUGAAAACGCACAUACGGAGUGUGCACACAAAAGAAAAACCAUUUGCGUGUGGAGUUUGUGGGAAAUGUUUUUCUCAGCGUGGAAAUAUGCAUACUCAUGUGAGAACCCAUAACAAGGAUGAUCGUUUCCCUUGCACUAUGUGUGGAAAGACAUUUUCACAAAAAGGAAACUUAAAAACUCACAUGCAGCGUCAUACAGGUCAGCUGCCUUCUCGUCGCUACGGUUCUCGUGGUGGUUCACGUUCCUGCUCCAAUGGAUCCCGCCCAAUAAUCCAAGGUUCCCGUUCAAACAUAAAUCAAUUCUCGUCUUACUCAGUUCAUGGCUCCUCUCCAGCUCCACCUACUUCUGGAUCUCCACAAACUCACUCUCCUUCUCUGAACCCUAUUAAUCUUGGUAAAUCUUCUCAAUCUCUAAAUAACCCACCUAGGCCUACACCAAGCCCUUUUCAAAGUGUUACUAAAACAACACAAGAAUCACAUUCCCAAUCGGUUCCUCCUCGCAGUUCUCCUCUUCCUCAGGUAUCUGCAAACACCUCCUUAGGAGGGGUUCAUAGAACUCCCUCAUCCACACAACCAUCCUCUGUCUCUAGCCCAUCACCUCCUGGCAUGUUGAGCCAUCCAGCAUAUCCCCACCAGCCAUCUCCGACUCUCGCACCUCCUUCAGAAUGUAUGAUCCACCCCGUGAUGCAUAGUCCUCCUGUCAACAAUUCUCAGAUGACUCACAUCAAGAGUCCGUCUCCAUGUGGCACUCCUGGCCAGUUGCAGUUCUCUGAACAAGAGAGUCGGCCCUUCUACUCUGCUCCGCCCACCCCAGUUCCAGCUCCACUGGCUCAUUCCCCAAGAUGGCUCCCUCAUGGCUAUCAGAGACACUACAGUAGCUUUCAGCCCCCAUCGUCUAUGAGCUCCUAUGGUCCAAUCUCUCAACACCCCACUCCUCUUUCACGUCUUGCUCUUCUCAGCUCAAAUGCAAUGGCUUAUCAUCAUACCCUUGGAAGUCCUCUUUCGGAAGACAAACAGAACACCAACAAUCUUGGGUUGUCAGGUCAUCACAUGUCAGAUGACCAUUUCCAUUCAUCAACAAGCCCCGACUUUUCUCAGUUGCUCGAUUGAUAAAAGUGACCAAGCAUUGUUUGUAAGAAAGACAGUGACUUUUUAAAUAGAAUAUUGGCUGAAAACAGUUGGCAUUAGUCAUAUCUUUGGAAGUAUCCAGAGCAAGCAUCUGAUUUAAAAACUACUUAAUAUAAGUGAGUUAUGAAUUGAUAUGCAAGAUGACAGUUUGAAGUAAUGAAUAUUUCUGAUCCUAAAUAAAUCUCGGUCAAGUUGUGUUUCACUCGGCACAAGCUACUCAAGGAGGUUGAUCCAUUCCCAAGUGAAAGAAGUAUACUACACACAGUGUGCAUUUAUCAUCCAUGUGGAAAGUUCUUACAUUUCCUCAUCUCUGCAGAUCACAUAGAACUUAAAUACAACUUUCUUUCUUUUUUUUUUCUAACACAUUAUAAAUUAUGAUGAUGAAACACUUUUUGCCACUACUUGUAUCCAUAUACAAUGGCCUGAUGUGAAUUCGCUUGGUGUUUUAUUAUUGGAAAAAUCAUACAGGAUGCAGGCAUUGGUGCUUUUGUUUGAAAUGUGAUAACAAAACCUAAGCUUAAAGGUGAUGUAUUUGAUAACAUCCUUAUUCUCCAUUUACUGAAAGUUAUGGUCAUUUUUUGGAAGCUGGUGAGAGAUGUUAACUAUUUAAUGAUGGGUGCUGAAUGUACGUGAUAUGAUAAAAUUCAUCAGUGUGUUUGUAGAACAAGUAUUUGUAUUAUGUACUUAUUACUAAUCCAUUUUGAUAAGUCUUUAAUUGAAUAAGGCAGCUUGAGGUUGAGAUUAAAAAAAUCUAAGAUAAUUUUUAUUUGAACUUUGAAAAUGGAGGUUCUUGGAAUAACUUUUAAGAAGAACUGUUUUGUUUGUUUUUUUUCCUUGGUUUUGUUUUACAUACUGGGAGUAAUUUUGUUGCCCCCAAAAAUUAUCAUAUUGCCUGUUAUAAAUUAUUAUUUUGCACAUGUACAAGCACUUGUACCUCUAAAGAAAGGUGCCAGUUUUACUGUUCAUUUGUAUAUAUCCAGAAUGUUAUUAUGAUGCAGGUUUUCAUUGUUGGUUGCUUUUAAAGAAAUUGAUGAUUGAAAAAUUUUAUAGACAAUUGUUGUGUUUGUAUGAAAGUGUGUUUGUUCUUUCAGAAAUGAAGCUCAAGUUUGUUGAAAAAUGAAAAAGGUUAGAGGUCGUGGAGUGUGUGUGUGUUGCAUGGUAUAGUUAAAUUUCUGACCAUCAUUUAAUCUUAAGUGAUGCAAUGAAGACAAGAAAC